RNAcentral lists this ribosomal RNA (425 nucleotides) under uncultured bacterium. RNAcentral describes it as "partial 16S ribosomal RNA". It matches the Rfam family "Bacterial small subunit ribosomal RNA", at positions 354 to 796 of the family's 1533-position model. The record is from RNAcentral.
GUGGGGAAUAUUGGACAAUGGGCGCAAGCCUGAUCCAGCCAUGCCGCGUGAGUGAUGAAGGCCCUAGGGUUGUAAAGCUCUUUCAGUGGGGACGAUAAUGACGGUACCCACAGAAGAAGCCCCGGCUAACUUCGUGCCAGCAGCCGCGGUAAUACGAAGGGGGCUAGCGUUGUUCGGAUUUACUGGGCGUAAAGCGCACGUAGGCGGAUCGUUAAGUCGAGGGUGAAAUCCUGGAGCUCAACUCCAGAACUGCCUUCGAUACUGGCGAUCUUGAGUCCAGAAGAGGUGAGUGGAACUCCUAGUGUAGAGGUGGAAUUCGUAGAUAUUAGGAAGAACACCAGUGGCGAAGGCGGCUCACUGGUCCGGUACUGACGCUGAGGUGCGAAAGCGUGGGGAGCAAACAGGAUUAGAAACCCUUGUAGUCC